This 292-nucleotide ribosomal RNA is filed under the name uncultured bacterium. Its description in RNAcentral is "partial 16S ribosomal RNA". It matches the Rfam family "Bacterial small subunit ribosomal RNA", at positions 505 to 796 of the family's 1533-position model. The record is from RNAcentral.
GUGUCAGCCGCCGCGGUAAUACGUAGGGGGCGAGCGUUGUCCGGAGUUACUGGGCGUAAAGGGCACGCAGGCGGUCACGCGCGUCUGCCAUGACAGCUCCCGGCUCAACCGGGAGAGGCUGGUGGAAACGGCGCGACUUGAGGACUUCAGAGGGACACGGAAUUCCGGGUGGAGUGGUGAAAUGCGUAGAGAUCCGGAGGAACACCAAAGGCGAAGGCAGUGUCCUGGGAAGUACCUGACGCUCAGGUGCGAAAGCCAGGGGAGCGAACGGGAUUAGAAACCCCUGUAGUCC